This 86-nucleotide transfer RNA is filed under the name Lophium mytilinum. It matches the Rfam family "tRNA". From Rfam's summary of the family: Transfer RNA (tRNA) molecules are approximately 80 nucleotides in length. Their secondary structure includes four short double-helical elements and three loops (D, anti-codon, and T loops). The record is from Rfam by way of RNAcentral. Lineage: Eukaryota; Fungi; Ascomycota; Dothideomycetes; Mytilinidiales; Mytilinidiaceae.
CUCCGCUUGGUGUAGUUGGUUUAUCACGUCGGGCUGUAAUUGAACAUCAUACCUGAAGGUCCGCGGUUCGAUUCCGCGAGCGGAGA